GGAUCAUGACCUGAGCCAAAGGCAGAUGUUCAACCCAGGCAUCCUGGACCAAGGCAUUUCAAAUAAUACCCAUAAAUGACCUAAGAAAGAAGACCUAUUUAGCUGCAGUCAGAAAAGGAAUACGAGGCAAGCAAAGACCAAUAGUAACUAAGCCAAAACUUGGCAUCUGAGAACGUUUUAUUAAGGAGAACGUCGCGUUCUCGUCUACGAAGUCCUAGAUUCCAACAACUGGUUCCUCAGGAAAUGUGACAAAAGUUAUCAAGGCUGGAGAGGAAUGAUUCUGUUACAUUAAACUGGAAACCGUACAGAAUUAAAUACAGAACGCGUAUUUUUGUGUUUGGGGGUCUUUCUCCUGUUUGGAAAUUUGGCAAAUAAAUUGCUAAUGCUUUUUAUAGAUACUGCCCCAUAAUCGGAAUGCACUCCAACAAGACAGGUCAGUAGGAGACUUUAUGGCUUGUGGCAGCUGCAUAUGUUUAUAAGAGUCCUUCAAGUAUCACGGAGUGAUGUAGGCUAAAAUCAAACUAGCCAGCUGUCUCCUGUAUCCUAGUUGACAGCUAGGGGAUAUGUUGUUAGUGAAUUCCCGUAUGUCAAGAAUUCUCAAACUUGUCUAACAGUAGAUUUUCCCCGUUCAAACAAAGCAUUUUCUGUGGCUGCCACGUAAUCCCCAACAAAGGGGAUUGCCUACAGAAAGGAGAGAGUGUCAAGUUCCAGUUGUGUGUCCUGAGCCAGAAUGCACAGCCUAUGGCCUGCAACAUCACACCCCUGCGUAGAGCCACAGUGGAGUGUGUGAAGGACCAGUUUGGCUUCAUUAAUUAUGAAGUAGGAGAUAGCAAGAAGCUCUUUUUUCCAUGUGAAGGCAGUUCAAGAUGGCAUUGAGCUACAGGCUGGAGAUGAAGUGGAAUUCUCGGUGAUUCUCAAUCAGCGCACUGGCAAGUGCAGUGCUUGUAAUGUUUUUUGGUUUUUUUUUUGUUGUUGUUGUUGUUUUUUCAGAGGAAAGAAAGGUUUCAUACAACACAGUAUCAAAAAAAAGUAAAAGGAACACACUAAAUGCACAAACUGGUGGCAAAUAAGUCCAUAGCCUAUUGUGAUAGGUCCUUCCAGCAUCGAUCAGGUUUCUUCUCCAUCUGUUAUCUCAAGGUUAUUUCCAGAUGUGGCGACUUUUGAAUAAGAGUCUCUCACAGUAGGGUGGACAGGUUUCAAUCAUUAGUUUCUGGAUCUGUUUGUGCCCUGUAGGCAUCCACCUCGGCAUCCAGGUGUCCUUUUGUUUUCGACAUGUAUGCAUCCAACUGGUUGUCCAGCUGCUCCUUGGUCAGCACAGGGCGAGUGAGGGCACCUGUCCCUCGUCCACGGCCAGCGGACCAGGUUCAAGGCAUUUGUUGCCAUUGGAGAUUACAACGGACACGUGGGUCUGGGCGUCAAGGGCUCCAAGGAGGUAGCCACUGCCAUCCGUGGGGCCAUCAUCCUGGCCAAGCUUUCCAUCGUCCCCGUGCGACGAGGCUACUGGGGGAAGGAACAAGAUCGGCAAGCCCCACACUGUCCCAUGCAAGGUGACUGGUCGCUGUGGUUCUGUGCUGGUGCGUCUCAUCCCUGCCCCCAGAGGCACUGGCAUUGUCUCAGCCCCUGUGCCCAAGAAGCUACUGAUGAUGGCUGGUAUUGACGACUGCUAUACUUCGGCCAGGGGCUGCGCUGCCACCCUGGGUUGCUUUGCCAAGGCUACUUUUGAUGCGAUCUCCAAGACCUACAGCUAUCUCACCCCUGAUCUCUGGAAAGAGACUGUGUUCACCAAGUCCCCCUAUCAGGAAUUCACUGACCAUCUUGUAAAGACCCACACCAGAGUCUCCGUGCAGAGGACCCAGGCUCCAGCUGUGGCUACCACAUAGUUUUAUACAAGAAAAAUAAAAGUGAAUUAAAGCUUGUUAAAAAAAAAAAAAAAAA
Molecule: long non-coding RNA, 1935 nt
Filed under: Canis lupus familiaris (dog)
Lineage: Eukaryota; Metazoa; Chordata; Mammalia; Carnivora; Canidae
Description: lncRNA (ENSCAFG00845027296.1)
Source: RNAcentral